RNAcentral lists this unclassified non-coding RNA (200 nucleotides) under soil metagenome. RNAcentral describes it as "partial contains internal transcribed spacer 2 and large subunit ribosomal RNA". The record is from RNAcentral.
CUGUCCGAGCGUCAUUUCAACCCUCAAGCACCGCUUGGUCUUGGGCGCGGUCUGGCGACCCGCCCGCAACUCCUAUGGCGGCACUGUCCGGCUCUAAGCGUAGCACGAUCUAUUCACUCGCUUUGGGGCUGCGGCAACGCUGCCACCUAACGCAUCUAGAGUUUGACCUCGGAUCAGGUGGGGAUACCCGCUGAACUUAA